GAUGAACGCUGGCGGCGUGCCUAAUACAUGCAAGUCGAGCGAACGGACGAGAAGCUUGCUUCUCUGAUGUUAGCGGCGGACGGGUGAGUAACACGUGGAUAACCUACCUAUAGGACUGGGAUAACUUCGGGAAACCGUAGCUAAUACCGGAUAAUAUUUUGAACCGCAUGGUUCAAAAGUGAAAGACGGUCUUGCUGUCACUUAUAGAUGGAUCCGCGCUGCAUUAGCUAGUUGGUAAGGUAACGGCUUACGAAGGCAACGAUGCAUAGCCGACCUGAGAGGGUGAUCGGCCACACUGGAACUGAGACACGGUCCAGACUCCUACGGGAGGCAGCAGUAGGGAAUCUUCCGCAAUGGGCGAAAGCCUGACGGAGCAACGCCGCGUGAGUGAUGAAGGUCUUCGGAUCGUAAAACUCUGUUAUUAGGGAAGAACAUAUGUGUAAGUAACUGUGCACAUCUUGACGGUACCUAAUCAGAAAGCCACGGCUAACUACGUG
RNAcentral lists this ribosomal RNA (497 nucleotides) under uncultured bacterium. RNAcentral describes it as "partial 16S ribosomal RNA". It matches the Rfam family "Bacterial small subunit ribosomal RNA", at positions 28 to 507 of the family's 1533-position model. The record is from RNAcentral.